GGGAGGGGCUGGGUGGAUUUUGGGGGUGGGGGUGGGGCUGAGCCCCCUCUGAGCCCCCGAUCCCAAAAACUGCAACUCCCAGAACCCCCUGCACACACAAAAAAACCCCGAACUACAACUCCCAGCGUGCCUUGCUGCAGAGACGAGAGCCAAACUACAACUCCCAGCGUGCCUUGCGCUGCAGCCAGGAGCUGAACUACAACACCCAGCAUGCCUUGCUGCCAGGCUCAGGCCUCGCUGGGACUCUUUAGGGUCGGUUUUAGGCCGGCCCAGGAGCCAAACUGCAACUCCCAGCAUCCUCUGCUGCUCCCAGCAUGCCCUGCGGUCCCGUUAAAGCCAGGCUUAGGUUAAUCUAGGCCUCACGGCCUAUCCUAGGCCUCGCUUUGGGGGUCCCGGGAGCCCAAGUCCAGCUCCCGCCGUGCCUCGCUGUCCGUACCUGUGCAACUACGGCUCCCAGCGUCCUUUGCUGCUGCGCUCACGCCGGCUUUAGGCCCCGCCGGGCAGCAGAGGCCUCUCCUGGGCUGGGUCUCGGCCCUUUCCAUCGAACCCCUGUGGGGCCGGACUACAACUCCCAGCAUCCCCUGCGGCCACAGCUCCAAAAAACCACAACUCCCAGCGGCCUUUGCGGCCGGUUCGCCACGCCCCCUUCCUUCCCAGCACGCCCCGCGGCCCCGCCCAACUACAGCUCCCAGCAUGCCCCGCGGCCCCGCCCACCACACCCCCCCCCGGUUUUGGGGUGUUUGGGGGGGUCCCUCCCCGUAUUUUUGGGGUUUUUUUCAGCCAUUUUGGGGCGGGGGUCCCUCAGC
This 806-nucleotide long non-coding RNA is filed under the name Parus major (Great Tit). RNAcentral describes it as "lncRNA (ENSPMJG00000003122.1)". Lineage: Eukaryota; Metazoa; Chordata; Aves; Passeriformes; Paridae. The record is from RNAcentral.